This 77-nucleotide transfer RNA is filed under the name Calothrix sp. NIES-2100. RNAcentral's name for it is "tRNA-Leu". It matches the Rfam family "tRNA". Rfam says of the family: Transfer RNA (tRNA) molecules are approximately 80 nucleotides in length. The record is from RNAcentral. Lineage: Bacteria; Bacillati; Cyanobacteriota; Cyanophyceae; Nostocales; Calotrichaceae.
UGCCCCUGUAACCCAAUUGGAAGAGGUGCCAAACUUAAAAUUUGGAAGUUGCUGGUUCAAAUCCAGUCAGGGGUAUC